CUCUCUCUCUCUCUCUCUCUCUCUGUCCUUGCCUCUCCUUGUGCCGUUUCCCUUCAUAGGACACGGGCAGUGGUGCUAGCUGUGCAUCCCCGCAGGCUAGGUCUCAGGAACCAUGAAGAAGUAGGAGGGGAUGAAAAUCAUGCUGGACAGUGGGUGCAAGAGUGGAGCGGUGACUGUCAGUGUGUACUCGGUCUGUAUUCAUUGAGUGGAUUUCACGCAGCAAUAGAGCUGUAUGUAGUGAUGUCUCAUGCUUGGCUUUUGCAGCUGCGCUUCUAGAGGAAGCAUGGAGGAGCAGCAGCCGAAGGAGAAGGUGGCAGACGUGGACCUGAGCAGUUUGGGCAUUCUUCUAAGCAGAGAUUAACAGUCCUCAGCUUUCUGCCUUGCACAUAACUGGCUGCCGUGUGCUUCCUCGUUGGGUACAGGACUCUGUGGUAUUAAGGCUGGGGAGUGGCCAGAGUCUGCUGUUCAGAGUGACUGUCGGAUGCUGUUGCAAGGGCUGCUUUUUGGCUGAAAUGCUAAAGGUGUCAUGGGAAGAGGGUGGAGCGCUGCCGUGUGGGAGAGGUGAAAAGAAGAGCUAAUGCGAUGUUGCCCGCUUAGAUGCUGCGCUUGCAGAGGAAUUGUCCAGGAGCCCCAGCCCA
Mauremys mutica (yellowpond turtle) is the source of this 638-nucleotide long non-coding RNA. RefSeq lists it as uncharacterized. NCBI's taxonomy places the organism in Eukaryota, Metazoa, Chordata, Testudines, Geoemydidae. The record is from RefSeq and is a predicted model, not a curated record. The transcript has 3 exons.